CCGCGGUAAAACCGGUUACUCCUACGGGAGGCAGCAGCUAGGAAUCUUGCGCAAUGGACGAAAGUCUGACGCAGCGACGCCGCGUGCGGGAUGAAGGCCUUAGGGUCGUAAACCGCUUUCAGCAGGGACGCGGUACCUGCAGAAGAAGCCCCGGCCAACUAC
Molecule: ribosomal RNA, 162 nt
Filed under: uncultured bacterium
Lineage: Bacteria
Description: partial 16S ribosomal RNA
Rfam family: Bacterial small subunit ribosomal RNA
Source: RNAcentral